Molecule: transfer RNA, 61 nt
Filed under: Cordylochernes scorpioides
Lineage: Eukaryota; Metazoa; Arthropoda; Arachnida; Pseudoscorpiones; Chernetidae
Description: tRNA-Phe
Source: RNAcentral
UGCCGAAACUAGGGACCUUUAGAUCUUCAGUCUAACGCUUUCCCAACUGAACUAUUUCGGC